AUUGAACGCUGGCGGCAGGCCUAACACAUGCAAGUCGAGCGGGGUUUUCGGACCUAGCGGCGGACGGGUGAGUAAAGCGUAGGAAGCUGCCCGAUAGAGGGGGAUACCAGUUGGAAACGACUGUUAAUACCGCAUAAUGUCUACGGACCAAAGUGUGGGACCUUCGGGCCACGUGCUAUCGGAUGCGCCUACGUGGGAUUAGCUAGUUGGUGAGGUAAUGGCUCACCAAGGCGACGAUCUCUAGCUGGUUUGAGAGGAUGAUCAGCCACACUGGAACUGAGACACGGUCCAGACUCCUACGGGAGGCAGCAGUGGGGAAUAUUGGACAAUGGGCGCAAGCCUGAUCCAGCCAUGCCGCGUGUGUGAAGAAGGCCUUCGGGUUGUAAAGCACUUUCAGCGAGGAGGAAGGGUGGUGUGUUAAUAGCACAUCAUUUUGACGUUACUCGCAGAAGAAGCACCGGCUAACUCUGUGCCAGCCGCCGCAGUAA
Molecule: ribosomal RNA, 488 nt
Filed under: uncultured bacterium
Lineage: Bacteria
Description: partial 16S ribosomal RNA
Rfam family: Bacterial small subunit ribosomal RNA
Source: RNAcentral